GUUGUCACAUGUUGGUUUCUCACUGAUUUAUCUCUACUCCUAAUGUCUCAAUUGGUGAAUAAUCUCCACGGUUUUUUUUCGCUGGUUUUUUUUGUCCUCCUCCCACCUUUGUCUUUUUUUUAUGUCUCUUCUCCCAUCACCGGUUUUUUCACCCCAUCUCGCACAUAAGGAAAAAACAUACGACGCAGCUCCCCUCGAUCUAUUUGCUAGGUCGACCGUGAAGCACUGACAGGACCAAAUUACACCGAUCAACAACACCGCUACUCGAACUAGCCCCGAUUGGAUUAAUUUGAGGAACAGAGUACAGAUACAGGGGUUCAGAUCGAGGAUCUGCCCGAAUUCUACCAAGUAGUCUAGGGUUCUAAGCUUAGGCUAGCUAUUACAACUUGGAGAAAGGGAAAGAUGACUCCAGAGACGUCUCGAAGGGGCUAAAUAGCUGGUAGGUUGGUGGCGACGCUGGGGCUGACGCGCUCCGUCACUGUAGGCUUCAGGAGGGUGGCGAAAAAUGGCGUGAAGGUGAACAGAACCCGUUACAGUUGUCGUCCGUUGAUGUCCAUCUGCUUCAUCCCAGCCGUCCAUUCCCAAGUGCGUACCGCUUCGUCAUCGCUGUCGAUUUCUUCAGAGUAGCUGCUCUGUUCUUCAGUUAGGAGCUGCAGAUCAGCCGGGUCCUGACAAGCACGCCGCUGCCGCCAUCGUGGAGCCCUUCGCCGCCGCCAUUGUGGAGCCCUUCACCACCGCCGAGAUCCGAGAUCGCUGCCGCCGAGGUCCGAGAUCGCCAUCCCUUUCCGUUUCUGGUUCGCUGGAAUAUCUCCCUUUUCCCCAUCUCUCUCUCGCGCGUCAUCGCUGCCACCGCCCACUACUGGCCGCCUCCGUCCGAUAGAUCACCGGCGUCGGGAGGCUGCGAGGUCGUCGGCGCAGCGUCGGGUGGCUCUCCGUUCCAGGGAUCGAGCGCCUGGGGCAGGAGGCGUCUACGGGAUGCGCGCGUGGGAGCUGGGAGGUUCUCCUAGCCGUCGGAUCUGUGAUCCGGAUCCGGCGGUCGUCCACUGCUUGCAUGUGACUGUUGACGGGGAAGAACAAGGAUUCGUGUAUGGAGGGGAGGAUCCGCGGCACGGUGAUGUAUGUCCGGCCGUUCGUAUGGUGCCAGCCGUGUCUUCACACCCUUGGUCUCAUCUCUCAUCGCUUCUUGUGGUGGCUCCGUGGAAUGCAUGAAGCUGCUCAUUGAGCCACCGUGGCAACAUCGGAUUCGUCAAGUGCUUGUAGAAGGCUGGAGCAGAUCCAAACGUUCCUGACCAAGUGAUCCAAACGUUCCCGACCAAGUGACUACCGCCGCCUGCGGGCGCAACGAGGCAGAGGAGGAUAUCCUGUUAGGGCUUGCAGCGCGAAGGCGUCGUGAGGAGGAGACGCCAAGGUGCCGGUGGUGCGCCCGCUGCUGGUGGUGCUCAGCGAGGACGAGUGCCAGAAGGGGCUGAGCAGGACGCCCUAGCGCGUCGCCAGUAUCUGUGUUCAAGAAGGCGCCCACAAAAUCAAUUUACACAAUCCCUUCUCUGAUUAUGCACACAGAUCAGGAGAGACAUACUGGCGGGACAAUCUUUAAACCAUGAAGCCCUCUCACGGGUCGGACAUUGAACAAAUAAUUCUUCUUUGAGACAGUGAAGAAAACACAAAUCAAUGUAGUGCCCGGCCCGAAUUGGACUUCGCUGCUAUAAGAAGGAAGGGUCCUUGGCUGGAAUCUCCAUCAGGAUGCAUACUUGGACCAGAAAAUCCAUCAAAUCCCGUCGAAAUUUCAAUUUUCAACGAAACAUCCAAUGUCACCUUCGAGUUCACCGGAGGUAGAGGAAUACCCGUCGAGCCGUCUAAUGUCGCUUCAUCAGACUUCGACGGAAAACAAGAUGGCAUCCUACAAUGCUCCACAGUUUGCCGGAACUUUGUCGGACAGUUUUACACUUGAGGUAUGUGGACAAGCAGGCUUGAAAUCAUGUUUUUUGGUUCUCUGGCAACCUACAGUCCAUUGCUUCAAAUAUGUCUGCAACCUCUCUUCCUUCCCAACUCGCUUUGUCUGCUUGACUGCAUCUCAAUUUGAUCUUAUGUAUUAUUAUUUUACUAUAUACCUCGCCCAUACUAAUCUCUCUCUGGACGUAUUUAUUGACACUAAUUAACCUUGAUGAGAUAACCAUGUUUCUUACUGGAGAGAUCCAUGCCAAGCAACAUAUCCUCCGUGACAAAGAUUAAAGGUUCUGAAUUAUAGUAGUAUAUGCAUUAGAGAUACAUUCAUGUAUAUGACUGAUAGUAACAUUAGCAACUGUUUUAUAUUUUUUUUCUAGGGAAUCGAAAAUUCUGCAAGAGUUGCUUCGUACAAUUUAUCCCUUUGGAUUUGAUAUAUAACUUAAAAUUUUUCCAAUAAGGGGAGAAAUGAGUUCAGAUAUAACUCUACUCAUGACAGGCGUGUUCCCUCCGUAGAUGCAUUUUUCACAUAAAUUCAUGGUUGAUCUACAGGCCUAAUAGUAUAUUGUACAUUGCUGGACAGAACAUGCAAUACCUGACAGUGAUGUAGAUUGGUGACCAGAACACCGAUAUUGCAGCAUAUCAUCUUAAUUUUGUAUUUGGUUAGCACACACUACACUACCAAGUAGCCCAAAGUUCCAAACUCAUAUCUGUAUAGUUGGUGAUCAUGUAGAUGAUUGUCGGUAUGCUAGGUGAGUACUCAUGAGUGCUUGCAAGAGUGGAUGAAUUAGUGUAGAUCUUCGAUACAUGCAGUUUUGGGAGGCACAACUUUUACAUGUCACUCACAUCCUAAUUUAAAAGUAGUCUGUACUAUUAAUUUAUUUCUCAUGGGCUUCAUGAAGUUUUUGGUAGUUCACUGUAUCAUUAGCUCAUACUAUUUGACAUGCGUUGUGGAUCAUCUCACCCGUAAGUAGUGAAUGAGUCAGAGGUAUUUGAGGAAAUUAUCUCGAAUUGUUGUUUGAUAAUUUAGUUCCCAUUUCUCAUUUUUUUUCCAUCUAAAUCCUGAGGCCUACACUCUUGAGAACUCAGCAGUACUAUUUCAUCGGAAGUACUCUGCAGACGACAAUUACAUGAACUUCCAGAUCGAUUCAAUAUCCAGUGGACUCCCUUGACUUGGCCUGAUGCAUGCAAGGCUCAGAUGCAACGUCGGGCAAACGUCGUGCAAAAUAUGUCGUCUGCAUAGCAGCGCCCUAUUUCAUUGGUGACAGCUCAGCAAUACUGUUGAGAGAGUAUUGCUCCUUUGUGAAUCUAGCUGCAGCAAGUAGCAAUUUCAAUUGAUGCAAGCAAGUAGCAACCAUGAAAAAGAUGCUCCUGAUUCUGUAGUAUGUGUCGUAUAGUACACUUCUUUUUUGCUGCAGUAUCACAAUACUGCCUUCUUCAUAUUUUUUAUGUCAGUGUGACAUAGACAGUUUGAUCAAACUCAGCUUCCUGGUUACUUAUAUACAUAGUUCUCUGCCUGGAAAUAAAAAAAUCAAGUACUCCCUCUGAUCCAGUGCUAGAUACAUCCGUUUGAGCGACAAGUGAUAUGGAUUGGAGGGAGUAGUUUUUUUUAUUGACAGCUGAGUGGAAACAGGGACUACAGGGACUAACCAGUCAAAAAUACCUUUAAAAACAUGUUAUUCUGAACAAAGACCAUAGAUUGUUCUACUCAGCCGGUCAGCAUUACCAUAGAUUUUAAGCGAACACAAAAUAUGUAUUUGAAGAUCAAAACAGCUAAUGUCCUGUGCAAAUUCAAGAUUAAUAUAUGACCAAAACACUGAGUUGGUGUGGAGGUGAUAUAUAUGGAGUUUGCUCGGAAACUGCUUCAGCUAUCAAACAUGGAAAUUUCUCUGAGCAAGCUUUGUUUGAUGUUGUUAUCGAUGAAGCUGCAUAGGCUCUUGAGUGCAAGGAGGCGGAGGAGGAUCUCCUGGUAAAGCUUGGCAGCGUGGAGGCGUCGUGAGUAAAACAUAGAUUUAUGCUAAUCCCAUGUAACCAAGUUCUGGUGUGAUCAUGCAGUUGUAUUUUUUUUUUCUAUUUUGCGCAGAUUGAUGGAAGAGCUUUGUAUAGAACUGAAGAUUAGAAUGAAAGGAAACAUAAGAGACAAUUCAGUAAGUUUCCCUAGGGAGGCAAAAAUAGUUUGCUGGUUCAUUUAGGAAAUUAGCUGGCUGCUGUAAUUAUCAUGCGAUAUGUUUUAGUAAGCAUUUGUAUCAAAUGUUCUACUACACUUUUAGUCUGUCAAAAAGUAUUGGCUCUUCCAUCUUCAAUUUACGUCGCUUGAAAGCGUUUGGUCGAUUGACGUAGUAACUAACAACUUUGUUUGGCUGCCAAUUGCUUUGCCAUCCUUAUGAUGCCAGGAAAAUGUUGUUGUGUAUACUAUGUUUGUCUGGUUUGAAUCAAUGUUUUAGUACUUGUUCUUUGACUACAUGGCAUGGGAGGCUGUUUACCGUGAUAUGGUCG
Aegilops tauschii subsp. strangulata is the source of this 4437-nucleotide non-coding RNA. The record is from RefSeq and is a predicted model, not a curated record. NCBI's taxonomy places the organism in Eukaryota, Viridiplantae, Streptophyta, Magnoliopsida, Poales, Poaceae.